UUCCCUGUGGCUCAGUUGGUAGAGCAUGGUGUUUGCAACACCAGGGUUGUGGGUUCGAUUCCCAGGGGGGACC
Molecule: non-coding RNA, 73 nt
Organism: Salmo salar (Atlantic salmon)
Lineage: Eukaryota; Metazoa; Chordata; Actinopteri; Salmoniformes; Salmonidae
Source: Rfam